This 222-nucleotide unclassified non-coding RNA is filed under the name uncultured Rhizoctonia. Its description in RNAcentral is "sequence contains ITS2". Lineage: Eukaryota; Fungi; Basidiomycota. The record is from RNAcentral.
AAUUCUCAAGACAAGUCUUUUGUUAAUUCAUUGGGCUCUUGUCUUGGACUUGGAGGUCUGCAGAUGUCACGUCUGCUCCUCUUAAAUGAAUUAGCUGGAUCUCCAUGAAUUUGGUUCCACUCGGCGUGAUAAGUAUCACUCGCUGAGGACACCCGUUAAAAGGUGGCCAAGCUCGAGGAUGAGCCGCUUCUAACAGUCCAUUCAAUUGGACAAUUUUUUAUG